UGGGGAAUAUUGGACAAUGGGCGCAAGCCUGAUCCAGCCAUGCCGCGUGAGUGAUGAAGGCCCUAGGGUUGUAAAGCUCUUUCAACGGUGAAGAUAAUGACGGUAACCGUAGAAGAAGCCCCGGCUAACUUCGUGCCAGCAGCCGCGGUAAUACGAAGGGGGCUAGCGUUGUUCGGAAUUACUGGGCGUAAAGCGCACGUAGGCGGAUACUUAAGUCAGGGGUGAAAUCCCGGGGCUCAACCCCGGAACUGCCUUUGAUACUGGGUAUCUCGAGUCCGGAAGA
This 283-nucleotide ribosomal RNA is filed under the name uncultured Mesorhizobium sp. Its description in RNAcentral is "partial 16S ribosomal RNA". It matches the Rfam family "Bacterial small subunit ribosomal RNA", at positions 355 to 655 of the family's 1533-position model. Lineage: Bacteria; Pseudomonadati; Pseudomonadota; Alphaproteobacteria; Hyphomicrobiales; Phyllobacteriaceae. The record is from RNAcentral.